AAAUUGAAGAGUUUGAUCAUGGCUCAGAUUGAACGCUGGCGGCAGGCCUAACACAUGCAAGUCGAACGGUAACAGGAAGCAGCUUGCUGCUUCGCUGACGAGUGGCGGACGGGUGAGUAAUGUCUGGGAAACUGCCUGAUGGAGGGGGAUAACUACUGGAAACGGUGGCUAAUACCGCAUAACGUCGCAAGACCAAAGAGGGGGACCUUUGGGCCUCUUGCCAUCAGAUGUGCCCAGAUGGGAUUAGCUUGUUGGUGAGGUAACGGCUCACCAAGGCGACGAUCCCUAGCUGGUCUGAGAGGAUGACCAGCCACACUGGAACUGAGACACGGUCCAGACUCCUACGGGAGGCAGCAGUGGGGAAUAUUGCACAAUGGGCGCAAGCCUGAUGCAGCCAUGCCGCGUGUAUGAAGAAGGCCUUCGGGUUGUAAAGUACUUUCAGCGGGGAGGAAGGUGUUGUGGUUAAUAACCGCAGCAAUUGACGUUACCCGCAGAAGAAGCACCGGCUAACUCCGUGCCAGCAGCCGCGGUAAUACGGAGGGUGCAAGCGUUAAUCGGAAUUACUGGGCGUAAAGCGCACGCAGGCGGUCUGUCAAGUCGGAUGUGAAAUCCCC
RNAcentral lists this ribosomal RNA (614 nucleotides) under Salmonella enterica. RNAcentral's name for it is "bacterial SSU rRNA". It matches the Rfam family "Bacterial small subunit ribosomal RNA", at positions 1 to 604 of the family's 1533-position model. Lineage: Bacteria; Pseudomonadati; Pseudomonadota; Gammaproteobacteria; Enterobacterales; Enterobacteriaceae. The record is from RNAcentral.